ACAUCCAGCGAACUUGGCAGAGAUGCCUUGGUGCCUUCGGGAACGCUGAGACAGGCGCUGCAUGGCUGUCGUCAGCUCGUGUUGUGAAAUGUUGGGUUAAGUCCCGCAACGAGCGCAACCCUUAUCCUUUGUUGCCAGCGAUUCGGUCGGGAACUCAAAGGAGACUGCCGGUGAUAAACCGGAGGAAGGUGGGGAUGACGUCAAGUCAUCAUGGCCCUUACGAGUAGGGCUACACACGUGCUACAAUGGCGCAUACAAAGAGAAGCGACCUCGCGAGAGCAAGCGGACCUCAUAAAGUGCGUCGUAGUCCGGAUCGGAGUCUGCAACUCGACUCCGUGAAGUCGGAAUCGCUAGUAAUCGUGGAUCAGAAUGCCACGGUGAAUACGUUCCCGGGCCUUGUACACACCGCCCGUCACACCAUGGGAGUGGGUUGCAAAAGAAGUAGGUAGCUUAACCUUCGGGAGGGCGCUUACCACUUUGUGAUUCAUGACUGGGGUGAAGUCGUAACAAGGUAGGCGUAGCGAG
RNAcentral lists this ribosomal RNA (525 nucleotides) under uncultured bacterium. RNAcentral describes it as "bacterial SSU rRNA". It matches the Rfam family "Bacterial small subunit ribosomal RNA", at positions 984 to 1509 of the family's 1533-position model. The record is from RNAcentral.